Alosa alosa (allis shad) is the source of this 436-nucleotide long non-coding RNA. RefSeq lists it as uncharacterized. The transcript is spliced from 3 exons. Lineage: Eukaryota; Metazoa; Chordata; Actinopteri; Clupeiformes; Clupeidae. The record is from RefSeq and is a predicted model, not a curated record.
UGAUUUGGCACCAAAUUCAAUUAGCAAAGCGUGAGAAGAGAGACCUGCACGUUGUGUUCUUGGAUUUGGCUAAUGCUUUUGGGUCUGUGCCGCAUAGUCUGUUGUGGGAGGCCUUUGAUUAUUUCAGAAUCCCAGGUAGCAUUAAAAGCCUAGUAAAAGCAUACUUUCUGGAUAUUCAAUUAUGUUUUACUACAGCUGAUUACACCACAGGGUGGCAACAACUUGAGAUAGGAAUCAUGGCAGGAUGUACCAUCUCCCCACUUGCUUUUACAAUGGCAAUGGAGGUCAUCAUUAGGGCCUCAAAAUGGGUAGUGGGUGGGGAGAAGUUGCAGGGAGGGCCACGCCUCCCCCCGAUUCGGGCUUUCAUGGACGACAUGACAACCUUGACGACAACCGUUCCAUGCACCAACAGGUUGCUGGGUAAGUUAAAUAGUAA